ACGAACGCUGGCGGCGUGCCUAAUACAUGCAAGUAGAACGCUGAAGAGAGGAGCUUGCUCUUCUUGGAUGAGUUGCGAACGGGUGAGUAACGCGUAGGUAACCUGCCUUGUAGCGGGGGAUAACUAUUGGAAACGAUAGCUAAUACCGCAUAACAAUGGAUGACACAUGUCAUUUAUUUGAAAGGAGCAAUUGCUCCACUACAAGAUGGACCUGCGUUGUAUUAGCUGGUAGGUGAGGUAAUGGCUCACCUAGGCGACGAUACAUAGCCGACCUGAGAGGGUGGUCGGCCACACUGGGACUGAGACACGGCCCAGACUCCUACGGGAGGCAGCAGUAGGGAAUCUUCGGCAAUGGGGGCAACCCUGACCGAGCAACGCCGCGUGAGUGAAGAAGGUUUUCGGAUCGUAAAGUUCUGUUGUAAGUCAAGAACGGGUGUGAGAGUGGAAAGUUCACACUGUGACGGUAGCUUACCAGAAAGGGACGGCUAACUACGUG
This 496-nucleotide ribosomal RNA is filed under the name uncultured bacterium. Its description in RNAcentral is "partial 16S ribosomal RNA". It matches the Rfam family "Bacterial small subunit ribosomal RNA", at positions 29 to 507 of the family's 1533-position model. The record is from RNAcentral.